RNAcentral lists this transfer RNA (77 nucleotides) under Alphaproteobacteria bacterium. Its description in RNAcentral is "tRNA-Pro". It matches the Rfam family "tRNA". From Rfam's summary of the family: Transfer RNA (tRNA) molecules are approximately 80 nucleotides in length. Their secondary structure includes four short double-helical elements and three loops (D, anti-codon, and T loops). Further hydrogen bonds mediate the characteristic L-shaped molecular structure. tRNAs have two regions of fundamental functional importance: the anti-codon, which is responsible for specific mRNA codon recognition, and the 3' end, to which the tRNAs corresponding amino acid is attached (by aminoacyl-tRNA synthetases). tRNAs cope with the degeneracy of the genetic code in two manners: having more than one tRNA (with a specific anti-codon) for a particular amino acid; and 'wobble' base-pairing, i.e. permitting non-standard base-pairing at the 3rd anti-codon position. Lineage: Bacteria; Pseudomonadati; Pseudomonadota; Alphaproteobacteria. The record is from RNAcentral.
CGGAGUGUGGCUCAGCCUGGUAGAGCAUUCGCCUGGGGGGCGAAGGGUCGUCGGUUCAAAUCCGGCCACUCCGACCA